Molecule: long non-coding RNA, 359 nt
Filed under: Homo sapiens (human)
Lineage: Eukaryota; Metazoa; Chordata; Mammalia; Primates; Hominidae
Description: HSALNT0340850
Source: RNAcentral
AAUAAGCAAGAUAUAUCCACACAAAUGAAAAUUACUCAGCAAUUUAAAUAAUGAGCUCACUGGCAGUGUGAUGAAAACAAGUAAAUGGAUACAUAAACAGAGUUGGCACCUUGACUUACCUUGUGAAUGACGCUCUAUCUGCACAGAUCUCAGGAGCCAUUAUGAUUAACUGACAAUGAAAAGAAAUGUGUAGAGUUCUUUCACUUCCAAUUUUACAAAAACAAGUAGAGAUGGAACACCUAUUCUGCAAUGAAAAUUACAGACAAUUGGUGAUAAAGACUCGUACAAUGGACUGUGAAGCAUUUAAGGUCUAUUCAAGUAUGUGUCUUCUGUUCCUUCUCAUUAAAGAACUAAUGAUA